UUUAAGCGUAACCGGAAGUUUCGGUGUCCAACUUUAAUCGUUCAUCUUAUUUGAAAUUUUUUUAAUUUUUAUUGUUAUGAGAUGAUAAAUUAUAAAUAGUACUUUAUAUGUGACUUAUAUUUUUUAAUUUUUUAAAAUAAGACAGACAGUUAAAUUUGUACACAGAAAAUCAUGGCUGUAUUUAAA
Oryza barthii is the source of this 186-nucleotide non-coding RNA. The record is from Rfam. Lineage: Eukaryota; Viridiplantae; Streptophyta; Magnoliopsida; Poales; Poaceae.